ACGUCAAGUCCUCAUGGCCUUAUGCCCAGGGCGUACACACGUGCUACAAUGGGCGGUACAAAGAGAAGGCAACCUCGCGAGGGUGAGCAAAUCUCAAAAAGCCGUUCUCAGUUCGGAUUGAAGUCUGCAACUCGACUUCAUGAAGUCGGAAUCGCUAGUAAUCGCGGAUCAGCAUGCCGCGGUCGAAUACGUUCCGGGCCUU
This 202-nucleotide ribosomal RNA is filed under the name uncultured Syntrophaceae bacterium. Its description in RNAcentral is "partial 16S ribosomal RNA". It matches the Rfam family "Bacterial small subunit ribosomal RNA", at positions 1182 to 1382 of the family's 1533-position model. The record is from RNAcentral. Lineage: Bacteria; Pseudomonadati; Thermodesulfobacteriota; Syntrophia; Syntrophales; Syntrophaceae.